AGCCGCCUCAGCGAGGCCGGGAAGUGGGGACGCAGUGGGGGACUCAGGUCCUCCGCUCCCGCCAUUCUCUGGGGAUCCCAGACCACGACCCAUCCCUACCCACCGAGCCACGGGCGGAACAGGCACCUCACGCUGGAAACUGCGGCGGUGAGAGCAGGCACUGUGCUGAGCCUUUACAAGAAUUGGCCUUUUAAUCCUCACAACAAUCCCACUAGUUGAACAGAUGGAAACUCAGAAGUGAGCCCAAGAUCUCGCGGCGAGUAACCCGCGGUCCUGGUGGCAGACGUGAUGAGUGAAAGUCCGCCCCCUAGGGGGUAGCUCGGGAAUCUGUGAGGGCGUUCUUGGUGGUCACAAUGACAGGGAGGCGGAGCCAGACAGUUGCACACGGAAUUGUCCCAUGUCCUGCAUGACGUUUGACUGUCCUGCUAGACAUUCAUGAAGCUAAAAAAACUUAUUUACGAUGAUCUGAGCCUACUCCUUACCCCCUCCCAUCUCAUGAUAGAGGGAAUUAUUUUGCUACUACAGGUAGUGAUAAAGCCCACCACUUUGCAAGAACAUCCUAUUUCCUAAUUGUCUCCACCUUAAUGUGCCGUGGUGUGUUAUCUUUGUUUAAGUUAAGGUGACUUUCGUCUUUCUCUUCUCAUCUGGUCUGUCAUUAUUAUCCCAAUUCUGUUUUUAUUCAAGUGUCCUCCUGUCUUCACUUUCAUUUCCUGGGUAUUAAAGAACUCGCAAAUCAACCAAAUCUAGAAAACAAAAGCUAAAUUGAAUUCUGGCUCAGGCUAGGGAAGGACACAAGCAGAAGUGUUGCUUCUUGUUCAACAGAGGACAAGACUGGGUUAUUCUAGGGUUUGGGGAAGGAUGGAGUUUAGGUAACAUUGAGUUGGAACGUGUUUCACUAGUCUCACAGCAAAGUGGGAGUGUGAGCAGAGAAUAACACCAAGCGUGUCCUGCAGCGCUGGAACCAGAGUUUAAAAAAAAAGGUAGACUGUUGUGUCUGCCCCCUUGCCUGCCCUGGACAGCAGGGCUGGGAGCUGGUGCACAACAAGCCUGAGCUAAAGCAGGAGUGGGCACCCAAGGGUGUGGCCUCUCUGGGUCAACUCGACCCACAUGGUCAGAUCCUUGGGCAAGAGUGGAAAAUUCCACUUUCACAUGUUUCUUAUCUAAACCUCUUCCUUUAAUUCACAUUAAAUAGGUACAAACGCCUGUUUACUUCAUGUCUUCUACCUCAGUAUGUCCAUGUUUUGAAAUAUGUAUUAUUUUAUUAUAAAUUAAUUUCCUUCUGUGUCUUCUUUACA
Molecule: long non-coding RNA, 1295 nt
Organism: Equus quagga
Lineage: Eukaryota; Metazoa; Chordata; Mammalia; Perissodactyla; Equidae
Exons: 3
Source: RefSeq, a predicted model, not a curated record